Molecule: ribosomal RNA, 253 nt
Filed under: uncultured bacterium
Lineage: Bacteria
Description: partial 16S ribosomal RNA
Rfam family: Bacterial small subunit ribosomal RNA
Source: RNAcentral
GACGAACCGAGCGAACGUUGUUCGGAAUCACUGGGCUUAAAGGGUGCGUAGGCGGGCUGCCAAGUUUGAGGUGAAAUCCUCCGGCUCAACCGGGGAAGUGGCGUGGAUACGACCGGGCUGGAGGGGGGUAGGGGGGACGGGAACUCACGGUGGAGCGGUGAAAUGCGUUGAGAUCGUGAGGAACGCCCGCGGCGAAAGCGCGUCCCUGGACCCCACCUGACGCUGAGACGCGAAAGCCAGGGGAGCGAACGGG